AACGAACGCUGGCGGCAGGCUUAACACAUGCAAGUCGAGCGCCCCGCAAGGGGAGCGGCAGACGGGUGAGUAACGCGUGGGAAUCUACCCUGAACUGCGGAAUAGCUCCGGGAAACUGGAAUUAAUACCGCAUAUGCCCUGAGGGGCAAAGGUUUAUCUGGUUUAGGAUGAGCCCGCGUUGGAUUAGCUAGUUGGUGGGGUAAAGGCCUACCAAGGCGACGAUCCAUAGCUGGUCUAAGAGGAUGAUCAGCCACAUUGGGACUGAGACACGGCCCAAACUCCUACGGGAGGCAGCAGUGGGGAAUAUUGGACAAUGGGCGCAAGCCUGAUCCAGCCAUGCCGCGUGAGUGAUGAAGGCCCUAGGGUUGUAAAGCCCUUUCACCGGGGACGAUAAUGACGGUACCCGGAGAAGAAGCCCCGGCUAACUUCGUGCCAGCCGCCGCCGUAA
This 448-nucleotide ribosomal RNA is filed under the name uncultured bacterium. RNAcentral describes it as "partial 16S ribosomal RNA". It matches the Rfam family "Bacterial small subunit ribosomal RNA", at positions 29 to 523 of the family's 1533-position model. The record is from RNAcentral.